Molecule: transfer RNA, 105 nt
Filed under: Exophiala xenobiotica
Lineage: Eukaryota; Fungi; Ascomycota; Eurotiomycetes; Chaetothyriales; Herpotrichiellaceae
Description: tRNA-Ser
Rfam family: tRNA (bases 6-98)
About the family: Transfer RNA (tRNA) molecules are approximately 80 nucleotides in length. Their secondary structure includes four short double-helical elements and three loops (D, anti-codon, and T loops). Further hydrogen bonds mediate the characteristic L-shaped molecular structure. tRNAs have two regions of fundamental functional importance: the anti-codon, which is responsible for specific mRNA codon recognition, and the 3' end, to which the tRNAs corresponding amino acid is attached (by aminoacyl-tRNA synthetases). tRNAs cope with the degeneracy of the genetic code in two manners: having more than one tRNA (with a specific anti-codon) for a particular amino acid; and 'wobble' base-pairing, i.e. permitting non-standard base-pairing at the 3rd anti-codon position.
Source: RNAcentral
CAAAGUUGGCCGAGUGGUUAAGGCGACAGACUCGAAUUGCCUGCUUCAAGGCCUUAUCGUUAUCUGUUGGAUUCGUCCGCACAGGUUCAAAUCCUGUAGCUGUCG